RNAcentral lists this ribosomal RNA (104 nucleotides) under Periophthalmus magnuspinnatus. Lineage: Eukaryota; Metazoa; Chordata; Actinopteri; Gobiiformes; Gobiidae. The record is from RNAcentral.
UUCAAAGGCUAUACUUGUCAAUUGUCUAAUCUCUCAAGCUAAGCAAGGCCAGGCCUGGCUAGUACUUGGAUGGGAGACCUUGGGAAUUUCUGGUGCCACAGUGU